RNAcentral lists this ribosomal RNA (271 nucleotides) under Cambaroides similis. Its description in RNAcentral is "partial 12S ribosomal RNA". Lineage: Eukaryota; Metazoa; Arthropoda; Malacostraca; Decapoda; Cambaridae. The record is from RNAcentral.
GUUCUUGAAAUUUAAAAAAUUUGGCGGUAUUUUAGUCUAGUUAGAGGAACCUGUUUUAUAAACGAUACUACACGCAUUAUCUUACUUUUUUUUGUAUUCAGUUUGUAUACCGUCAUUGUCAGAUAAUUUAAGAGAUAACAUUAUUAGGACCAGUAUUUUGAGUAUAUUAGAUCAAGGUGCAGCUUAUAAAAAAGAAAAAAUGGGUUACAAUAAAAUUUAUUUAUUACGGAGUUAAAAUUUAAAAAUUUUAAUGAAGGAGGAUUUAAUUGGU